RNAcentral lists this ribosomal RNA (767 nucleotides) under Salmonella enterica. RNAcentral describes it as "partial 23S ribosomal RNA". It matches the Rfam family "Bacterial large subunit ribosomal RNA", at positions 711 to 1390 of the family's 2925-position model. Lineage: Bacteria; Pseudomonadati; Pseudomonadota; Gammaproteobacteria; Enterobacterales; Enterobacteriaceae. RNAcentral also lists the same sequence under 2 other names. The record is from RNAcentral.
AGACCCGAAACCCGGUGAUCUAGCCAUGGGCAGGUUGAAGGUUGGGUAACACUAACUGGAGGACCGAACCGACUAAUGUUGAAAAAUUAGCGGAUGACCUGUGGCUGGGGGUGAAAGGCCAAUCAAACCGGGAGAUAGCUGGUUCUCCCCGAAAGCUAUUUAGGUAGCGCCUCGUGAAUUCAUCUCCGGGGGUAGAGCACUGUUUCGGCUAGGGGGCCAUCCCGGCUUACCAACCCGAUGCAAACUGCGAAUACCGGAGAAUGUUAUCACGGGAGACACACGGCGGGUGCUAACGUCCGUCGUGAAGAGGGAAACAACCCAGACCGCCAGCUAAGGUCCCAAAGUCAUGGUUAAGUGGGAAACGAUGUGGGAAGGCCCAGACAGCCAGGAUGUUGGCUUAGAAGCAGCCAUCAUUUAAAGAAAGCGUAAUAGCUCACUGGUCGAGUCGGCCUGCGCGGAAGAUGUAACGGGGCUAAACCAUGCACCGAAGCUGCGGCAGCGAACGUAUCACCCAAGACAACUUUACGGAGUUGGCGAUUGACGGAGCGAAGCGACGUCAAAGCGUUCAUUAAAGUCGAGUUGGCUUAGGGAUACGUUCGUUGGGUAGGGGAGCGUUCUGUAAGCCUGUGAAGGUGUGUCGUGAGGCAUGCUGGAGGUAUCAGAAGUGCGAAUGCUGACAUAAGUAACGAUAAAGCGGGUGAAAAGCCCGCUCGCCGGAAGACCAAGGGUUCCUGUCCAACGUUAAUCGGGGCAGGGUGAGUCGACCC